RNAcentral lists this ribosomal RNA (458 nucleotides) under uncultured bacterium. RNAcentral's name for it is "bacterial SSU rRNA". It matches the Rfam family "Bacterial small subunit ribosomal RNA", at positions 340 to 786 of the family's 1533-position model. The record is from RNAcentral.
UACGGAAGGCAGCAGUGGGGAAUAUUGCACAAUGGGCGCAAGCCUGAUGCAGCCAUGCCGCGUGUAUGAAGAAGGCCUUCGGGUUGUAAAGUACUUUCAGUCGUGAGGAAGGUGUUAAGGUUAAUAACCUUAGCAAUUGACGUUAGCGACAGAAGAAGCACCGGCUAACUCCGUGCCAGCAGCCGCGGUAAUACGGAGGGUGCGAGCGUUAAUCGGAAUUACUGGGCGUAAAGGGCACGCAGGCGGUUAAUUAAGUUGGAUGUGAAAUCCCCGGGCUUAACCUGGGAAUGGCAUUCAAGACUGGUUAGCUAGAGUCUUGUAGAGGGGGUAGAAUUCCAUGUGUAGCGGUGAAAUGCGCAGAGAUGUGGAGGAAUACCGGGUGGCGAAAGGCGGCCCCCUGGGACAAAAGACUGACGCUCAUGUGCGAAAGCGUGGGGAGCAAAACAGGAUUAGAUACC